GCGACUAAGCGUACACGGUGGAUGCCCUGGCAGUCAGAGGCGAUGAAGGACGUGCUAAUCUGCGAUAAGCGCCGGUAAGGUGAUAUGAACCGUUAUAACCGGCGAUUUCCGAAUGGGGAAACCCAGUGUGAUUCGUCACACUAUCAUUAACUGAAUCCAUAGGUUAAUGAGGCGAACCGGGGGAACUGAAACAUCUAAGUACCCCGAGGAAAAGAAAUCAACCGAGAUUCCCCCAGUAGCGGCGAGCGAACGGGGAGGAGCCCAGAGCCUGAAUCAGCAUGUGUGUUAGUGGAAGCGUCUGGAAAGGCGCGCGAUACAGGGUGACAGCCCCGUACACAAAAGCGCAUGUGCUGUGAGCUCGAUGAGUAGGGCGGGACACGUGGUAUCCUGUCUGAAUAUGGGGGGACCAUCCUCCAAGGCUAAAUACUCCUGACUGACCGAUAGUGAACCAGUACCGUGAGGGAAAGGCGAAAAGAACCCCGGCGAGGGGAGUGAAAAAGAACCUGAAACCGU
RNAcentral lists this ribosomal RNA (513 nucleotides) under Salmonella enterica subsp. enterica. RNAcentral's name for it is "partial 23S ribosomal RNA". It matches the Rfam family "Bacterial large subunit ribosomal RNA", at positions 1 to 559 of the family's 2925-position model. Lineage: Bacteria; Pseudomonadati; Pseudomonadota; Gammaproteobacteria; Enterobacterales; Enterobacteriaceae. The record is from RNAcentral.